GAUGAACGCUGGCGGCGUGCCUAAUACAUGCAAGUCGAGCGAACGGACGAGAAGCUUGCUACUCUGAUGUUAGCGGCGGACGGGAGAGUAAAACGUGGAUACCCUACCUUUAAGACUGGGAUCACUACGGGAAACCGGUGCUAAUACCGGAUAAUAUUUUGAACCGCAUGGUUCAAAAGUGAAAGACGGUCUUGCGGUCACUUAUAGAUGGAUCCGCGCUGCAUUAGCUAGUUGGUAAGGUAACGGCUUACCAAGGCAACGAUGCAUAGCCGACCUGAGAGACGGAUCGGCCACACUGGAACUGGGACACGGUCAAGACUCCUACGGGAGGCAGCAGUAGGGAAUCUUCCGCAAUGGGCGAAAGCCUGACGGAGCAGCGCCGCGUGAGUGAUGACGGUCUUGGGAUCGUAAAAAUCUGUUAUUAGGGAAGAACAUAUGUGUAAGUAACUGUGCACAUCGUGACGGUACCUAAUCAGAAAGCCACGGCUAACUACGUG
Molecule: ribosomal RNA, 497 nt
Filed under: uncultured bacterium
Lineage: Bacteria
Description: partial 16S ribosomal RNA
Rfam family: Bacterial small subunit ribosomal RNA
Source: RNAcentral